GACUUCUUGGUGUAGUUGGUUAUCACGUCUGUCUAACACACAGACGGUCCGCGGUUCGAAUCCGCGAGAAGUCA
Molecule: transfer RNA, 74 nt
Filed under: Rhizomucor miehei CAU432
Lineage: Eukaryota; Fungi; Mucoromycota; Mucoromycetes; Mucorales; Lichtheimiaceae
Description: tRNA-Val (AAC) (tRNA-Val-AAC-1 1 to 4)
Rfam family: tRNA
About the family: Transfer RNA (tRNA) molecules are approximately 80 nucleotides in length. Their secondary structure includes four short double-helical elements and three loops (D, anti-codon, and T loops).
Source: RNAcentral